GACGAACGCUGGCGGCGUGCUUAACACAUGCAAGUCGAACGGAAAGGCCCUGCUUUUGUGGGGUGCUCGAGUAGCGAACGGGUGAGUAACACGUGAGUAACCUACCCUUGACUUUGGGAUAACUUCAGGAAACUGGGGCUAAUACCGGAUAGGAGCUCCUGCUGCAUGGUGGGGGUUGGAAAGUUUCGGCGGUUGGGGAUGGACUCGCGGCUUAUCAGCUUGUUGGUGGGGUAGUGGCUUACCAAGGCUUUGACGGGUAGCCGGCCUGAGAGGGUGACCGGCCACAUUGGGACUGAGAUACGGCCCAGACUCCUACGGGAGGCAGCAGUGGGGAAUAUUGCACAAUGGGCGGAAGCCUGAUGCAGCAACGCCGCGUGCGGGAUGACGGCCUUCGGGUUGUAAACCGCUUUCGCCUGUGACGAAGCGUGAGUGACGGUAAUGGGUAAAGAAGCACCGGCUAACUACGUG
Molecule: ribosomal RNA, 468 nt
Filed under: uncultured bacterium
Lineage: Bacteria
Description: partial 16S ribosomal RNA
Rfam family: Bacterial small subunit ribosomal RNA
Source: RNAcentral